Molecule: ribosomal RNA, 522 nt
Filed under: uncultured bacterium
Lineage: Bacteria
Description: bacterial SSU rRNA
Rfam family: Bacterial small subunit ribosomal RNA
Source: RNAcentral
CCAGAGAACCUUAGCAGAGAUGCUUUGGUGCCUUCGGGAACUCUGAGACAGGUGCUGCAUGGCUGUCGUCAGCUCGUGUUGUGAAAUGUUGGGUUAAGUCCCGCAACGAGCGCAACCCUUAUCCUUUGUUGCCAGCGGCUCGGCCGGGAACUCAAAGGAGACUGCCGGUGAUAAACCGGAGGAAGGUGGGGAUGACGUCAAGUCAUCAUGGCCCUUACGGCCAGGGCUACACACGUGCUACAAUGGCGCAUACAAAGAGAAGCGACCUCGCGAGAGCAAGCGGACCUCAUAAAGUGCGUCGUAGUCCGGAUUGGAGUCUGCAACUCGACUCCAUGAAGUCGGAAUCGCUAGUAAUCGUAGAUCAGAAUGCUACGGUGAAUACGUUCCCGGGCCUUGUACACACCGCCCGUCACACCAUGGGAGUGGGUUGCAAAAGAAGUAGGUAGCUUAACCUUCGGGAGGGCGCUUACCACUUUGUGAUUCAUGACUGGGGUGAAGUCGUAACAAGGUAGGCGUAGUGCU